GACUAAAUUCUAUUUAAUGUCAAGUGUAGGACAAAUGUUGCCAAAAUUUAAAUGCCAUAUGUCUGGUUAAAUUGGCUUUUGUUUUCUAAACUAGAUUCCAAGCUAAUAACUUGUUUUAUUUUUAAUUUUCUUUUUUGUCCUUUGAUAUACUUUUUGUAUAUCUAAAUGUACGGAACAAGUAAUUUGUACUCCCUUUUCUCUAAAUCAGAUUGCAAGCAAGUAAUUUGUUCUCUCCUCAUUUUUUUCCAAAAUCAAAAUGCAAGCAAGUAAUAUAUUCUCUUCUUUUUUGUCCUUUGACAUACUUUGUUUCUAUAUAAAUAUAAGGAUUGGGAGGUAAUAUGGAGUACCAUAUCUGCAUUGAUCUUCUUGCUUUUCAAGUCAUCACAGGCAAUAUAGAGUUUACAUGUUAGCCACAAUAAGAAUUUGAUAUCAUUGCAGGAGUCACCAAGGGAAAAUUGCCCGCAGUCCGUGCAUCACUCCUCAUACGCACGCACCUCAUUGUCGAUUCUCUUGCUCAAUUUCAGUCACCAAAGUCACUUCUCCUUCGUCAUCACAGUUGCUCGUCGAUU
This is a non-coding RNA of Camellia sinensis, 569 nucleotides long. The record is from RefSeq and is a predicted model, not a curated record. Lineage: Eukaryota; Viridiplantae; Streptophyta; Magnoliopsida; Ericales; Theaceae.